AUGGACUUGGUGGGUCUUUGAAUUUAAAUAAAAUAAACAUGUAUAUGCAACACAAAAUAUUUAUAUUCCUUGUGUAAACAUAAUUUAAUUGAUUAGGAUGAAAAUGUUUUGUUUGAAUGUAAAAUGAACACAUUAUUCUCACAUUGAUUAAAAUUUAUUGAAUUGAAUACUUAAAGCAAUAAAAUUGAGUUUGCACACAAAAUGGCACCUCCUGAGCAGAAGGUGGCAGUAACGCUCAAUAAAAAGGACGUCAAUCGCCAUAAAAGAAGAAUAAACAUCGUUUGUUUUGGGCGCCAAAAUGAAGACUCAGCAGCAGUCAGUCAGAAGAACUCCCUCAGACGGACACCACGUUAUUAAAGUCCAUCAUCCUUGCAUGCGCUACACUCAAAAGCAUUGAUAAAUGCUGAAUUUAAAAGAAUCACUACUGUCUUAUGUUCCUGCGUGUCACCUGGACCUCCAAUCCAAAAACCUGACGAAACUCUUCUAUCAGAAAGGAGGACAGCUAGCAAACAGACUUCAAACAAUGAAUGAUCAAAUGACAGAAGGCAUGAAUGAAGUCAGCAUCAGUGUGGUCAUUUGAAGACACCAAUGUUGGGAUUUGUGCUCUCAAACAACAUGCUUCUUGUGAUGAAGAAGAGGAUCUUUGUAUAGUCCUGGAAGGCAUGAAGGUGUUGCAACAUCGUGCCAUGUUGUUUGAGCUGAUGUAUGCCUUAAACCUGAGCUAUCCUGAUCUCUGCUUUAUUUUUGAGGAACUGCUAGAUUUUAAUGGAACUGCAUUGAGCGUAACUUUAACGAACAGUUUCUUUCAGUGAAAGGAUCAGAAAGACUGUGCUGCUCAUUUUUGUUAUCUGUUUUAAGUGUUUUUUCUUAUUAAAACAUUAACCGUUUGCUGCUCAGAGUUGAUUUUGGAAAUGGUUGUUGUAUUUUGUUUUUGUUGAAUCUUUGAUUAUCAGUUUAUACAAAUGCUGUAGCUCUGACUUUCUGAAGGAUUGAUAUUUUCCAGUUUGUAAAUCCAUUUAAAAAAUAAUAGUACUUACUGUUUUGCAUGUCUCUUUGGAAUGCAGUGUUUGUGCUUUAGCACUUCUAAAUCUACUGUGAUAGUAACUAUUUUAAACAUUUGGGUCAGUUUUACAGAUGGGGCUUUUUCUAGUCCCAGACUUUUGCAAUGCCUUAAUUUGAAAACAUAUUGCACUGACAUAUCUUGACAUAUAUCAGUGCCAUUGUUUUGUCUCAAGAUGUACUCCAGUGUUGUUUUUGUAAGGUAGGUUUGUUUGUAAACUUUUUUUGUAAAAAAUAUCCUAAUAUAACUAGGGCCUAGUCAUGGAUUAAUCUACAACCUGUUUGGGAAAUUGCCCCUUUGUAUGUACUGCAUGUGCUGAUUGUUGUAAUAGUUAUUGACUGUUGUUGAAUUAAUGUGUAGUUAUUUAAAUGAAUUGAUGAUCUGAAAGCAGUGGUUUGCCUCAAUAUCACUAAACUUUUGUUUAAAACUCUUUGCUUUUUAUGCCAAUGCAAAUGUAUUUUGUAUUUAAAAAAGAAAUAAAUAACAUUUGGAUAAUUAUGGAUGAUUAUUCUGGUUCCAGAAACAUAAUGAAAUUGCUUUAGAGUUACAUAAUCCCAUAAUAUAAGCAUUAAAAAAGCAUGUUGGAAUUACAGAUGAAAAUCUAGUCCCCUUACAUAAUAAAAUUACUUAAACAUUACAAAAUAAAUGUGUUAUAGUAAAGAGAAAUAGCACUUUGAG
Molecule: long non-coding RNA, 1738 nt
Organism: Paramisgurnus dabryanus
Lineage: Eukaryota; Metazoa; Chordata; Actinopteri; Cypriniformes; Cobitidae
Source: RefSeq, a predicted model, not a curated record